RNAcentral lists this ribosomal RNA (750 nucleotides) under uncultured archaeon. RNAcentral's name for it is "bacterial SSU rRNA". It matches the Rfam family "Archaeal small subunit ribosomal RNA", at positions 170 to 922 of the family's 1478-position model. The record is from RNAcentral.
CUGGAAUGGCUUAUGGUCUAAACAGUUUACUGCCAUGGGAUGGGACUGCGGCCUAUCAGCUUGUUGGUGAGGUAAUGGCCCACCAAGGCUAUAACAGGUACGGGCUCUGAGAGGAGAAGCCCGGAGAUGGGUACUGAGACACGGACCCAGGCCCUAUGGGGCGCAGCAGGCGAGAAACCUUAGCAAUGUGCGAAAGCACGACUGGGUCAGUCCGAGUGAUUCCUGAUAAAGGAGUCUUUUAUCUGUCCUAAAAGCACAGGUGAAUAAGGGGUGGGCAAGUCUGGUGUCAGCCGCCGCGGUAAUACCAGCACCUCGAGUGGUCAGGACGUUUAUUGGGCCUAAAGCAUCCGUAGCCGGCUUUGCAAGUCUACGGUUAAAUCCACCUGCUCAACAGAUGGGCUGCUGGAGAUACUACAAAGCUAGGGAGUGGGAGAGGCAGACGGUAUUCAGUGGGUAGGGGUAAAAUCCUCUGAUCCAUCGAGGACCACCAGUGGCGAAGGCGGUCUGCCAGAACACGUUCGACGGUGAGGGAUGAAAGCUGGGGGAGCAAACCGGAUUAGAUACCUGGGUAGUCCCAGCUGUAAACGAUGCAAACUCGGUGAUGCAUUGGCUUAUGGCCAAUGCAGUGCCGCAGGGAAGCCGUUAAGUUUGCCGCCUGGGAAGUACGGACGCAAGUCUGAAACUUAAAGGAAUUGGCGGGGGAGCACCACAAGGGGUGAAGCCUGCGGUUCAAUUGGACUCAACGCCGGU